GGACAUGAGGGUGAUCUGGCUGCGACAUCCAUCUCCCCACUGAUCUCCAAGUGUCCCCUUAGCCCAUCACCCCUCCAUGUGCGUCAUUCCCAAACCUGUGAACUGGGUCAAAGAGGAUUCUUUCCUUGGUCAAGGGGUUAACUACGCACCCCUGUGAGCACCUCCACACAAGCUCUCAGGAUGGUAGCUACAUUCGCCAAAUAUAGUUGUGCAUGCCUGUAGACCUGGCAUUCUUA
RNAcentral lists this small nuclear RNA (236 nucleotides) under Cavia porcellus (domestic guinea pig). RNAcentral describes it as "7SK RNA". It matches the Rfam family "7SK RNA". From Rfam's summary of the family: 7SK was discovered as an abundant small nuclear RNA in the mid-70s but a possible function has only recently been suggested. The record is from Rfam by way of RNAcentral. Lineage: Eukaryota; Metazoa; Chordata; Mammalia; Rodentia; Caviidae.